UACGAAGGGGGCUAGCGUUGCUCGGAAUCACUGGGCGUAAAGGGUGCGUAGGCGGGUCUUUAAGUCAGGGGUGAAAUCCUGGAGCUCAACUCCAGAACUGCCUUUGAUACUGAAGAUCUCGAGUUCGGGAGAGGUGAGUGGAACUGCGAGUGUAGAGGUGAAAUUCGUAGAUAUUCGCAAGAACACCAGUGGCGAAGGCGGCUCACUGGCCCGAUACUGACGCUGAGGUGCGAAAGCGUGGGGAGCAAACAGG
RNAcentral lists this ribosomal RNA (253 nucleotides) under uncultured bacterium. Its description in RNAcentral is "partial 16S ribosomal RNA". It matches the Rfam family "Bacterial small subunit ribosomal RNA", at positions 524 to 776 of the family's 1533-position model. The record is from RNAcentral.